RNAcentral lists this long non-coding RNA (354 nucleotides) under Orbicella faveolata. RNAcentral describes it as "uncharacterized LOC110050637, transcript variant X2". Lineage: Eukaryota; Metazoa; Cnidaria; Anthozoa; Scleractinia; Merulinidae. The record is from RNAcentral.
GCACGUUUGAUGAAUCAUUCUGCGAAAUUGUUCUUGGAUUUUCUGACGCACUGCCUGCCUUCAAAGAGCUGUAUCCUAACAGAGAGUCCUUCACCCAGCAGAAUUUGGCCACAGAUCUUCUUGGUGCAACUUACAGUGCACACAGUGCCCUUGACAAUGUGCUGAUGCUACAAAAGUUGAGCGCUAGCUGUCUAAGUGAUGCUGUUCUUCUGAAACACAGCUUCUCAAAUUCCGGCAGGUUUCUUUCACAGGUCACAGGUCACAGGUCACCAAAAAAUAUGCCAAAACGUCAUAAAACAGAUGCAUACAAGUGCGUCCCUAGUGCAACUAUAAGAGCUCUUUCUUGAAAAAAAA